RNAcentral lists this ribosomal RNA (465 nucleotides) under uncultured bacterium. Its description in RNAcentral is "partial 16S ribosomal RNA". It matches the Rfam family "Bacterial small subunit ribosomal RNA", at positions 28 to 507 of the family's 1533-position model. The record is from RNAcentral.
GACGAACGCUGGCGGCGUGCUUAACACAUGCAAGUCGAACGGAAAGGCCCUGCUUGCAGGGUACUCGAGUGGCGAACGGGUGAGUAACACGUGGGUGAUCUGCCCUGCACUUCGGGAUAAGCCUGGGAAACUGGGUCUAAUACCGGAUAGGAGCCAUUUUUAGUGUGAUGGUUGGAAAGUUUUUUCGGUGUAGGAUGAGCUCGCGGCCUAUCAGCUUGUUGGUGGGGUAAUGGCCUACCAAGGCGGCGACGGGUAGCCGGCCUGCGAGGGUGGACGGCCACAUUGGGACUGAGAUACGGCCCAGACUCCUACGGGAGGCAGCAGUGGGGAAUAUUGCACAAUGGGCGCAAGCCUGAUGCAGCGACGCCGCGUGGGGGAUGACGGCCUUCGGGUUGUAAACUCCUUUCGCUAGGGACGAAGCUUUUUGUGACGGUACCUAGAUAAGAAGCACCGGCUAACUACGUG